AGUGAACGCUGGCGGUAGGCCUAACACAUGCAAGUCGAACGGCAGCACAGGAGAGCUUGCUCUCUGGGUGGCGAGUGGCGGACGGGUGAGGAAUACAUCGGAAUCUGCCCAGUCGUGGGGGAUAACGUAGGGAAACUUACGCUAAUACCGCAUACGACCUUCGGGUGAAAGAGGGGGAUCGCAAGACCUCUCGCGAUUGGAUGAGCCGAUGUCGGAUUAGCUAGUUGGCGGGGUAAUGGCCCACCAAGGCGACGAUCCGUAGCUGGUCUGAGAGGAUGAUCAGCCACACUGGAACUGAGACACGGUCCAGACUCCUACGGGAGGCAGCAGUGGGGAAUAUUGGACAAUGGGCGCAAGCCUGAUCCAUCCAUACCGCGUGGGUGAAGAAGGCCUUCGGGUUGUAAAGCCCUUUUGUUGGGAAAGAAAUCUUUCAGGCUAAUACCCUGGGAGGAUGACGGUACCCAAAGAAUAAGCACCGGCUAACUUCGUG
RNAcentral lists this ribosomal RNA (490 nucleotides) under uncultured bacterium. RNAcentral's name for it is "partial 16S ribosomal RNA". It matches the Rfam family "Bacterial small subunit ribosomal RNA", at positions 29 to 507 of the family's 1533-position model. The record is from RNAcentral.